This 274-nucleotide ribosomal RNA is filed under the name uncultured bacterium. Its description in RNAcentral is "partial 16S ribosomal RNA". It matches the Rfam family "Bacterial small subunit ribosomal RNA", at positions 523 to 796 of the family's 1533-position model. The record is from RNAcentral.
AUACGGAGGGUGCAAGCGUUAAUCGGAAUUACUGGGCGUAAAGAGUACGUAGGCGGUUGCUUAAGUCAGAUGUGAAAGCCCCGGGCUCAACCUGGGAACUGCAUUUGAAACUGAGUGACUAGAGUUUAAGAGAGGGGAGUAGAAUUCCGGGUGUAGCGGUGAAAUGCGUAGAGAUCCGGAGGAAUACCAGUGGCGAAGGCGGCUCCCUGGCUUAAAACUGACGCUGAGGUACGAAAGCGUGGGUAGCAAACAGGAUUAGAAACCCUAGUAGUCC